CCUACGGGAGGCAGCAGUGAGGAAUAUUGGUCAUUGGACGAGAGUCUGAACCAGCCAAGUAGCGUGAAGGAUGACUGCCCUAUGGGUUGUAAACUUCUUUUAUAUGGGAAUAAAAUGUUCCACGUGUGGGAUUUUGUAUGUACCAUAUGAAUAAGGAUCGGCUAACUCCGUGCCAGCAGCCGCGGUAAUACGGAGGAUCCGAGCGUUAUCCGGAUUUAUUGGGUUUAAAGGGAGCGUAGGUGGAUUGUUAAGUCAGUUGUGAAAGUUUGCGGCUCAACCGUAAAAUUGCAGUUGAAACUGGCAGUCUUGAGUACAGUAGAGGUGGGCGGAAUUCGUGGUGUAGCGGUGAAAUGCUUAGAUAUCACGAAGAACUCCGAUUGCGAAGGCAGUUCACUGGACUGCAACUGACACUGAGGCUCGAAAGUGUGGGUAUCAAACAGGAUUAGAUACCCCUGUAGUC
Molecule: ribosomal RNA, 460 nt
Filed under: uncultured bacterium
Lineage: Bacteria
Description: partial 16S ribosomal RNA
Rfam family: Bacterial small subunit ribosomal RNA
Source: RNAcentral